Molecule: long non-coding RNA, 363 nt
Filed under: Canis lupus familiaris (dog)
Lineage: Eukaryota; Metazoa; Chordata; Mammalia; Carnivora; Canidae
Description: lncRNA (ENSCAFG00030010104.1)
Source: RNAcentral
AUGGUAUUUCCUUCCUUGUAUGUUGGUGGUCUGCUUCCUUUUGUUUUGUUUUCAGUUUCUGGUUGGACUUACUCUGUAAAGACACUGAACACCUCAGUUGGUGACCCUCCCCCCCAGCUGGGAUUAGUAUUUCCGUCUGCCUGGACUGUGCUUGCUGUUCUGACCCGGGGCCUUCUAAGGAUGCAGCUGUACUGCCACAGGAGAGCCUCUGCGAGUACCUGGUUCAACGUGAUGGCAAAUAAAAGACAUGCAGAAUUGCAAAGCUCAUUCGAUUGAUUGCACACACUGGACAGAGUCACGCUGAUGGGAACCCAUGGAUGGAUUUAGAAUUCUCUUCAUACACAUAAUCCUGUGAAAACCAAG